RNAcentral lists this ribosomal RNA (496 nucleotides) under uncultured bacterium. RNAcentral describes it as "partial 16S ribosomal RNA". It matches the Rfam family "Bacterial small subunit ribosomal RNA", at positions 28 to 506 of the family's 1533-position model. The record is from RNAcentral.
GAUGAACGCUGGCGGCGUGCCUAAUACAUGCAAGUCGAGCGAACGGACGAGAAGCUUGCUUCUCUGAUGUUAGCGGAGGACGUGUGAGUAACACGUGGAUAACCUACCUAUAAGACUGGUAUAACUUCGGGACACCGGAGCUAAUCCCGGAUAAUCUUUUGAUCCGCAUGGUUCAAUAGUGAAAGACGGUCUUGCUGUCACUUAUAGAUGGAUACGCGCUGCAUUAGCUAGUUGGUAAGGUAACGGCUUACCACGGCAACGAUGCAUAGCCGACCUGAGAGGGUGAUCGGCCACACUGGAACUGAGACACGGUCCAGACUCCUACGGGAGGCAGCAGUAGGGAAUGGUCCGCAAUGUGCGGAAGCCUGCCGGAGCAGCGGAGCGUGAGUGAUGAAGGGCUUCGGAUCGGAAAACGCUGUUAUUAGGGUAGAACAUAUGUGUAAGUAACUGUGCACAUCUUGACGGUAUCUAAUCAGAAAGCCACGGCUAACUACGU